This 6090-nucleotide long non-coding RNA is filed under the name Elaeis guineensis (African oil palm). RNAcentral's name for it is "long non-coding RNA (EGUI_LNC007357)". The record is from RNAcentral. Lineage: Eukaryota; Viridiplantae; Streptophyta; Magnoliopsida; Arecales; Arecaceae.
AGAAGACAUACAGAUGUAGGAGUGUGCAAAAGGGUAGGCUACUGUGAGCUGCAUAGCUGAAACCUACCACUUGCAUCUGCCAUGCAUAGAAAAAAUGUUUUUGAUGCCAAAUUGGUUACCAUGAACAUAUUUGAUGGGAAUUGCAUAACAAUUACAGCUUUCAGCAGCAUGACAGACAAUAUUCUCCAAUUAAAGUUGUUAUACAAAGAUUUCAUAAAAUAAUGCAAGCAAUCUGGUACUCCUAAACAAUUUAGUUAUCCUCAAAGAUGCUAUGCAUCAGGAUGCACUUUUUCCAUGCUGAUGCACUCCAAGAUACCUUAUCAGAGCCUAUUUAAAAAGAAGCAUAAUUGUCAUGCCUCAGGACAAAAAUAUAUGUCAGUCAUUUUUUGCUCGAAUUGAAAUGAAAAAAAUAUUGCAUAAAUCAGCCAUUCUAGGCCAUCAGAAUAUACUUUACGUAUAAAAUUUCUGGCACUAAAAAUUGCAUAUUUGGAAUCACUGACAUAAGAUUUUCCAAUUACAUAAGUGAAUACAUUGUUAAGACUAAAAAAACUCCAUGGAUCACUUACCCAGCUGUUUUCGGUUAGAAAUUUUGGAUUUUUUAUAGAUUGACAUUUUUCAGCUAUUUUCGUAAUUGGAUGUUAGACAGACAUCACCAUAUGCAGAGAGUUCUAGAAGAUCCAUGUCUCAUCCUGAUGUUGUUGGAACUCCAUUAUUAGCAAUCAAGUUAGCAAUGCAUGCCAUAUUCUAUUAGGUAGCAAUCCUGUGUAUAAAUCUGAUAAACAACAUUUUGAUAAAACUUUCAAGUCCCCUGAAACUCUAUAAUAUGCAUUCUUCCGUAUGAGGACAGGUUUGGAUAUUUCAGUCUUAUUUCCCUUAGAACAAUUAACAGUUGCCUGCAAAAUGAGAUUAUUUGUCAAAUAAAUUUAAGUGAGAAGCAAUAGGUGCAGACACUGGAUAUAAUUUAUAAUGUAGACAACAUUAUCAAGUAUGGAAGAAACAACUGUGUAUGUAUUAUAUGGAUUACACCAUAAUUAAAUGGCCCAGCUUUUCUAGUUGCCACACUGCGUGCAAUGGAUGUUGGAAAAUAAUGAUAAACUUCACAACAUCAACACAGUCAAGCAUCAGCAUCAAAGCACAAAAAUAGACAUAAUCAGAUUAAACCAAAUGCUGUUAUGCUUAACCACUAGAACACACCCUCUAAGCAGUUGAGUUUUUACAAGAUGCACAACUUGACACCAGAUUGCCUACAGAAUCACUACAAUGUAUAAUUCAAACACAACUUUUAUGCUACCACUGAAUAUCUGGCUCUAAUUCUAUAGAAAUUCUAAAGUUUUGUUUCUCGCUUCUUCCUUAUUCUAUCUGAUCUGCCUAAAGACACAGGCAAAGGAGAGGCGCAAGAACAAAAUCUUUAAAAAAAAAGAAAAAGAAAGAUGAAAAUCUAAAAACUAAGUUGAAUCCUCCUGAACCAACUCCCACAACUUAAUUGUGGUUGCUGUUACAUUGAAUAGUAGAAGCAGGGAACCAAAUCUCAUCAAAGAAAAACCAGCAUGUCUCACUACCACUACAGGUUCUGAGGCCCAGCAUAUACCAAAAUGAGCACGGGCUUUUUCUAUUUUGUUUUAUUUUUUAUUUUGUAUCAUAUUUUAUUUUACUUUGGAAAGAAGCAAGCUACACCACCUAGAUGACUAGAAUAUAUGUCCCCAAAUAUCAGCUUUGGAAGACUGCAAGAAGCUCAAGUAAUUUUCAUCAUUAAAUCAGGACCCCUCGUAAGUGGAUUUUUUAAUCAUGACUUGUUUGAUGAGAGGAAAUAAAACUAAAGAGUCUGGCCAUGGAAUCACAGUUCCAUCACAAUUUUUUUAUGCAUUAGUCGCUUAAUAAAGCUAACUCAAGCUAAUUUUCUUUUCCUUGGUUAAAUGUUCAACAUCUCUGAUACAUUGAGAUUUUAGAGGAAAGAGAAAGGCUAUAUGUGAGGCCACCCCUUUAGCUUAGACUUUAAAUCAAUAUAUACCCAUAAAAGAGUAAUUUCAGUCUAAUGGAUUAUGCCUCCAGAUCAUGAAAUAUAACAUUUCACUAAAAACAUCAUAAAAGACAAGCAAGAAUGUGGAAUUGCAUGGAUUCAGUCAUUCCAACUAUAUAAAAUGAAACUUAAGCUAAACAGGUCAUCAUAACACUGAUAUGAUAAUUAUUCAGUUGUAAAAGUUCCCAAUACCAAGCAUAUAGGAAGAGAUAGAAAUAGUCAACACACUGAGAAAAACAAGAAAUAGCACACUCACCUGUAAAACUUGGCAAUUUUACAAGGUGCUCUUCCCACCCUGCAUUUUGCAAAUAUUAGAGAGACAAAAGUCAAGCUACCCAUACACCAAAAGGAAAAACAGAGAGAGAGAGAAAGAGAGGAAUUCCAACACCUUAUCAUCAAGAAGCUUACCUACUAUUCUUGCAUUUAUGAUUGCUAUGGUCAAUUAUAUGGAAAUUGAGAAAUCUAGGUUACUGCUUAAUUAUUUAAUAUAUCGGGUUAAGAGAAGCUAAGAAUGCAAAUGAGUGGGCAAAAGAGUAGCUCUUCUGAAGGCAGAACAUAUAAGUUCACAUAAAAAACAAAUAAAGUAACUGCUGGUAUCAUAUGCAGACAGACACAUUUUAGCCAUGAAAAAAAGGAUACUUCCCUAAGAUAUGCAGAGUUUCUGCUCCAUUUGUGAACAACACGCCAUUGUUUUCCUUUCAAUCAUUCUUUUAUCUCUAUAUUCAUACAUAACCAAAGAUGGCAUGAAAACCCUUUUUCUCUUUCUGUUUUUGAUUAACAAGACAUUUCCUUGGCCUAAGAAAACUACCAUUCACCAAUCACUCAAAAUAUCUUCCACACUGAAUGAUAUGAAUGCACCACCAAAUGAUACCGGAAAAUUUUCAAAAUGUCCUUCCACAGUUUAGCAACAAUCCAUGUAUUUUCUACCAAAAUAUCAAAAUUAUAGUUGGCCCAUAAGAAAGAUUUAUUUCUUCGAUUGGGUUUUUAUUAAAUGCCAAAUCAUCACUUCUCUGUUUUCAAACUUGCUAUUAGAUUCAUGUGAAUGACUAUAAUACUUGUGAGUACAUCUUCUAACUUUCAUGAACCAUCUCCAUUUUCCACCCUCUUGUUUUCAAUUUAUGCAAAUAAAUUAUUUCUAAUUAUAAUCAAUCGAAAACUUUGAGUUCCAAUUUCAAUAGAGAAGAAUUGCUAAAUUUCUUCCCUUCGAACAACAAUGCAUUCCAAUGAUUUUGCAUUUCAGCCCUAUUCUUUUCAUCAAAAAAAACAAAAAACAAAACAAAAGCAUUCCAAUGACUAUGAAAAAUGAUGCAGAUGUCUCCCAGCAUAUCGUAUAAACUCGAAAAAAGGGGGUUUCAAAGAAACAUCUCACUGCAUAAAUUUCAAGAGAAUAACAUUGUCCUCCACCAUCGAACUUCAUGCUUUACCAUCCCAUGGUUUUCAGGUAUUUAGACUGCUAUCCUCAGCUAUAAUCCCUACUUAGUUGUCGUCUAUCUGAAAGAACAAGGAACCAUCCUCGAAUAUACAAAUCAUCAUUAGCUCCGACUUUCCAAAAUCUACAAUUCACUGUCAGGAGUUUUAGAAAACAAUUUUUUACUGCUCACUCACGAAAAAUUAGUUUAUAAAAGUAGAAAAAGGUUUUCUGACCUUGUAUAUGUGGACAGCUCUGAAUUUUCAUCCUUUCAGCAUGCACUAGACAUUUCCUGCUCUUCUACAUUUUAUGAUGAAGAUACCAUUUCAGUUUACUGUUAUAACAGUCAUCCAUUUUUGUUUCUUUUUGGGAAAGCCAACAUCUCAUUAGAUCUCAUGACAGGAUUAUCCAUCUCCACCAAGUUAUAGUUUGAAAAACUUCACAUCCUGAUUAUUUUUCACAUUCUGCAUAUUCCAACCACAAGAUUUGAAAGCUCAUUUUGAUAGCCCAAUUGUUCUAAAUCUCCAGUGACCUAUAUCAAUCCACUUUCUUGCACCCAUGCCUCCUUUUAGCAUUCAACACAAGAUCUUCACCACGUCUCAUCCGCAAGUCAAAAUCAUGCAAGACACAUUGAGCACAUAUCCAAACUAUACUUGCUUAUGUCAGAGAUGGACUUCAAAUCUCUCUCCUUAUUCCAAGAUAUAUGCAAAAAAAACAAAAGAAAAUACAAGAAAAAAGAAGACGAAGAGGAAGAUGUUUAGAUCUCAAUACUUUCAAGGAUCGAACCUUUCAAUAGACAAAAAUCGAGCCUGACUUUACCAAUUCAAAUACAAGUUCAGAAUCUCAACAUUUAUUUGUGUUGCAUGCCCUUUAUCUAAUGUUAACAACCAUAUCCAAAUCUGCUAUCAGCAAUCCUAUCUCAACUAUCUAAACUAAGCUUCAUGAUCCCCUUUAACCAUUCUUCCCCAGGAUGUCAAAGCCUGGACUAGAAUACUCGGAAUUCUUACCUCUCGUGUAACCCUCAUACAUAUGCCUCAGCCCCCUCUCUAAUGGUGUCUUUAAUUUUUCAUCGCAUGGUAUCUUGUCAUCUCAUCAGUUAUCAUCAUUUUAGUCCCCUCUCUAAUUUUUCCUCCUGUUGAGGCUUUCCUCUUUAUUUGAGUGGGACCCCAUCAAAGGACAAAAAAAAUCAUAAAUAGAUCAUAAUGUAAGAAUGGUCACCCUACUGAAUUUCCUCCAUGCUGCAUUUCUUAGUCCCUUUCAUUUCUUUAUACUUGUAACGUUUAUUUUCACAAGAAGUUUGAAUCUUCAUGGAUUGUUCUGGAAACUAGGGAAAGUCAGAGCUGAUCUUUUGUGAGUCUCUAUUUCUCCUUUGUGAAGCUUCAAGAGAAAGGACAAGAUGAACGUGUAGAAGUUCUGACAGUUCAAUUUGCAGAGCUUAAGAAAGAACAAAGAAACAAGUAGUUCUUAUCAGCUUUAUGAAGCCUAAUAUCAUGUUUAAGCUUGAUCAAAUGAGUUAUUUCUACUGUUGCAUGUUGAAUCCACUUUCUUACAUGAUUUUUUUUUUUUUUUUUGACAAUUAAGGUGCGUUCCCUUGAAGUUGCCAUCCUCUUGCUUGGCCCAGAGAAGAAGAAAUGUUGUAAUACCAACAAGCCAUUAUUGUAGACAGUGAAUGGUUGAUCUACAGUAGGCCUUGCCAGAUUUUUUUUCCUUUGGGAUGGUGGGUCUGCAUUCUUGGCUUUCUAUUCUUUCUAUACAGCAGGAAUGAGACUAAAUUGCACCCAGGUGUGAAUUUAACAGUAUCACUGUAUUCAGGGCUGAGGUGCAUAGGUUUGUCCUCUGUAUGCAGAGGUUCACAGUUAAUGUGCACAGAUUUGCCAUCAUGUGCAAUGACUACCUACUUGAAGCCCCGAAGUUCACAGAUUACACUCUGGUUAUAAUUUUUUUUUUUUGCCGGAGUCCAUUUUUUUCCUUUUUCUUUUGGGAGAAAAACCUCCUUCAAAUGCAACUAUUUCCAAUUUUUUCCUCUCAAAUUUGCCAUACAUAAACAUAAACUAUAAUGUGUAUCUCAAUUAUCAUCUUUUUAAAAGCUUGACAAGUUGAAACCUACAAAUUCCUGAACCCAUAGCAUACCAAACGAAUUCCCACUUGCUGCAAGAUGCAACAAUCAAAGCAGAAAAAAAUUAAUACAGCAAAUUUGGGACCAUAAAAUUAUAAUCAUCCUUCGAAAUGAACCCAAAAAUAGCCGCCAUAAACUAAGAAAAACAUUGUUCCUCUCUGGUUCUAAACUCUCCAUAAAUCCAAGAUUAGCACUCCAAACAUCAACCUUAAUGGAAAAAUCACAGGAACAACGACAUUUUCUUUUGGUUCAAAGAGAACCUACAUCACAAACCCUCCCAAAAAAAGGAAAAAAAAACCCAAAAAAUCCAAUUUUUCCCCAUGCUAAAGAAGAGAUCGAUAAAGAAACAGCACCAGAUCGAUACCGUGGAAUAGAGGUGACGCAGCGGAGGAAGCGGACGUGUUGUGGAGGGAGUCGCGACCCUUCACCUUCUCUGCCUUUUCCCAGCACUACGGCUUCACGCCUUGGGAAAAGCUCCUGGGCUCCACCGGUGUCGACCACCCGCCGCCGCCGCAUUCGCCGCCGUAGAUCUUCAGCGAGAAGCCUGAC